UAGGGAAUUUUCCACAAUGGACGAAAGUCUGAUGGAGCAACGCCGCGUGCAGGAUGAAGGCCCUCGGGUCGUAAACUGCUUUUAUGUGUGAAGAAUAUGACGGUAACACAUGAAUAAGGAUCGGCUAACUCCGUGCCAGCAGCCGCGGUAAUACGGAGGGUGCGAGCGUUAAUCGGAAUUACUGGGCGUAAAGCGUGCGUAGGUGGUUUGUUAAGUCAGAUGUGAAAGCCCUGGGCUCAACCUGGGAAC
This 249-nucleotide ribosomal RNA is filed under the name uncultured organism. RNAcentral's name for it is "partial 16S ribosomal RNA". It matches the Rfam family "Bacterial small subunit ribosomal RNA", at positions 355 to 621 of the family's 1533-position model. The record is from RNAcentral.